RNAcentral lists this ribosomal RNA (467 nucleotides) under uncultured bacterium. Its description in RNAcentral is "partial 16S ribosomal RNA". It matches the Rfam family "Bacterial small subunit ribosomal RNA", at positions 29 to 507 of the family's 1533-position model. The record is from RNAcentral.
ACGAACGCUGGCGGCGUGCUUAACACAUGCAAGUCGAACGGAAAGGCCCUGCUUUUGUGGGGUGCUCGAUUGGCGAACGGGUGAGUAACACGUGAGUAACCUGCCCUUUACUUUGGGAUAACUUCAGGAAACUGGGGCUAAUACCGGAUAGGAGCUCCUGCUGCCUGGUGGGGGUUGGAAAGUUUCGGCGGUUGGGGAUGGACUCGCGGCUUAUCAGCUUGUUGGUGGGGUAGUGGCUUACCAAGGCUUUGACGGGUAGCCGGCCUGAGAGGGUGACCGGCCACAUGGGGACUGAGAUACGGCGCAGACUCCUACGGGAGGCAGCAGUGGGGAAUGUUGCACAAUGGGCGGAAGCCUGAUGCAGCAACGCCGCGUGCGGGAUGACGGCCUUCGGGUUGUAAACCGCUUUCGCCUGUGACGAAGCGUGAGUGACGGUAAUGGGUAAAGAAGCACCGGCUAACUACGUG